UGGAGGAGAGUUGGAGCAAAUAAAGAAGCGGAUGCAACUGGAAGUUUUGGGGGAAUAAAAGAUCAGGAUGUCUCCCACAGAACUCUGCAGAAAUGGGAGAUGGCUCCGGAGGGUGCAAGACGCAAGUUCAGGGGCAAAUGGAAAUUAGGGAUGAAGAACACUUUCCCUUUGAGGUUUGGCUCAUUGCAGCAGAGACUGGAGAUGAGGGAAUUGGUGUCAUACUUUUCCCUUCUGCCCCACAGUGUUGAUCCCUGGCACUGUGAGGAUCAGCAAGUGGCCAAAAACAUCAGGAGGUGACCUUGCUCUGCCAUGAGAUCCCUCCUUGCAGGCCUGGACUGCC
Pipra filicauda (Wire-tailed manakin) is the source of this 340-nucleotide long non-coding RNA. RefSeq lists it as uncharacterized. NCBI's taxonomy places the organism in Eukaryota, Metazoa, Chordata, Aves, Passeriformes, Pipridae. The transcript is spliced from 3 exons. The record is from RefSeq and is a predicted model, not a curated record.